AGGUCUCUUUGGACACUGGUGUACAGGUGGUGCAUGGCUGUCGUCAGCUCGUGUCGUGAGAUGUUGGGUUAAGUCCCGCAGCGAGCGCAACCCUCGUCUUAUGUUGCCAGCACGUCAUGGUGGGGACUCAUAAGAGACUGCCGGGGUCAACUCGGAGGAAGGUGGGGAUGACGUCAAGUCAUCAUGCCCCUUAUGCCUAGGGCUUCACGCAUGCUACAAUGGCCG
Molecule: ribosomal RNA, 225 nt
Filed under: uncultured Actinomycetes bacterium
Lineage: Bacteria; Bacillati; Actinomycetota; Actinomycetes
Description: uncultured actinobacterium partial 16S ribosomal RNA
Rfam family: Bacterial small subunit ribosomal RNA
Source: RNAcentral